CUGGCGGUACCUGCCAUUACGGUGUACGGGUAUCGUCGCCAUCAUCAUCCAGAUCCAGGUUUUGGCCCCAGUUCAUUGAUUUGCUUGUUGGUACCGCUAUUGACCAUCCAAUGCAGUGUUCUCAAGGUCCAAAGUACGUGGACCUUCAGUUGGUGUAAUCAGAAGCAAUAUCCAAGAUAUUCAUCAUGCACUUCUACAAAAUUUAGCCAUGUGUUCUGUUUGACAAGGAGAAGGAAACAGGAACAAGGUCGGAGGAGAAGAGAAACUCAACUCCAGCUAAUGACAAGCCCAUGUGUGCAUUGUGAUAGACACUGCUCUGGGGUCUGUUUAUGCGCAACAACGGUUUAUGAGAGGAGAGGUGGCCCCCAUCUGUGGCCGCAAAGGAGCUUGGCCAACUGCGACAACGACAUCCUGGCUCUGGUUGUGAUAGUGAUGCUCCGACCUCAGUUCGAAGGCAACCUUGACUACAAAAGGUCACUGACGGCGUGCCGUAGUAGCGCAGGGGCGGACAGGGUCCGAGUCCGAGGCACGGAUAUCUGGAUUGGGAUUUUGGGAUCUGUGGCCAUCUGGGGAAGACAGAAGACGGGACGGGACAGCAAGCCAGCAGCGGCUGAGGAGAGGAACCGAGGAUGA
Molecule: unclassified non-coding RNA, 633 nt
Filed under: Zea mays
Lineage: Eukaryota; Viridiplantae; Streptophyta; Magnoliopsida; Poales; Poaceae
Description: misc RNA Zm00001eb313480
Source: RNAcentral